This 274-nucleotide ribosomal RNA is filed under the name uncultured bacterium. RNAcentral's name for it is "partial 16S ribosomal RNA". It matches the Rfam family "Bacterial small subunit ribosomal RNA", at positions 523 to 796 of the family's 1533-position model. The record is from RNAcentral.
AUACGAAGGGUGCGAGCGUUAAUCGGAAUUACUGGGCGUAAAGCGCGCGUAGGCGGUUGGAUAAGUCGGAUGUGAAAGCCCCGGGCUCAACCUGGGAAUUGCAUUCGAAACUCCCCGGCUAGAAUAUGGUAGAGGGAAGCGGAAUUCCACAUGUAGCGGUGAAAUGCGUAGAUAUGUGGAGGAACACCAGUGGCGAAGGCGGCUUCCUGGACCAAUACUGACGCUGAGGUGCGAAAGCGUGGGGAGCAAACAGGAUUAGAAACCCUAGUAGUCC